AACCUGACUGACGGUGAUUCAGCCAACGGCGAGCAGUCGAACAACCUCCUCCUCAAAAAAAAAAAAAAAAAAAAAAAUCGAACUCGCCUGCACCGUCUACCCUCCGCGGAGCCACCAUCUGCCGAGGGCUCGCAGGGAGGAUUUAGCCGGCGGCCUCCUCCUCCACAAUUGCGUGAACAAAGAGGGUGUGGCGGCUGUCAUGCUGUGAAUGGUGCAAGGCCUCGGCGGCCGGCGGCGAUGUAUGUUCAGGUGCCGGAUCCUCCUGCUUCUCAUGUGGAUGCGGGCGAACCGGCGCUGCUGGCUGCUGCUGCUGCUGCUGCAACCAGUGCAGCGGAAUGGUGGUGGCCAUGAUUUUGCCGUGCGGGGCUCAACUUGGGCGGCGCGAGGCGCGCGUGCGCGGAGGUCGUCUCCGGCCACGGGCCACGGCCCAGGCGACAAGCAUCAAGCAAGGAGCAACGAACGCCACACCGACAGUAGGCCUCCACAAAAUUUAUUCGCCGCGGGAUGAGAGCCAAGUUCAAAUGUUCAAUUAUGCAAUCAGUGACGCACUUGUGCAAUUCCCACUAGAUCUCGGAGCCACCAAGUCUAAUGGACCUACUAAAGUAUUUAGGUCAGCGAAUGUGUCUAUUCCUGUUUAUCCUCCCAGUUCUUUGUGGCUUGUUCUAUUGUAGCAUUGAUCUGUGCACCAUCCGGAAGUCUUUUGCCAUGUUAUUCCAAACUAUCAUAAUGACAAUGGACUGGUGAAAACUUGGAAAUUGCAGGACACCGUCAUUGGUAGAUGAUGCUAGAACAAUGUCUGUUGUCUGAUGAUGCUUGUUUCAGAACAGAAGUCAGUACAGUUCAUCUUUUGUUUCAGGAGGGCAGUACAAUUCAUCCCGCAGUACAACCGAUCAUGUAGUUAAAAAUACUGAUCAUAUGGAGUAUUUGUGAAAACAAAAGUACAGGCAACUCGUGCAGCAUAUGCCAUCCUUUGUACCGUCAACUUUCCAAAGAAUCAAUCAAUAAGCAGAUUAACAUUUGGUGAA
Molecule: long non-coding RNA, 1025 nt
Organism: Panicum virgatum (switchgrass)
Lineage: Eukaryota; Viridiplantae; Streptophyta; Magnoliopsida; Poales; Poaceae
Exons: 2
Source: RefSeq, a predicted model, not a curated record